CGGGGGCGGCGGCUACACAUGCAGUCGAGCGAGAUCUUCGGAUCUAGCGGCGGACGGGUGAGUAACGCGUGGGAACGUACCCUCUUCUGCGGGAUAGCCACUGGAAACGGUGAGUAAUACCGCAUACGCCCUUCGGGGGAAAGAUUUAUCGGAGGAGGAUCGGCCCGCGUUGGAUUAGGUAGUUGGUGGGGUAAUGGCCUACCAAGCCUACGAUCCAUAGCUGGUUUUAGAGGAUGAUCAGCCACACUGGGACUGAGACACGGCCCAGACUCCUACGGGAGGCAGCAGUGGGGAAUCUUAGACAAUGGGCGCAAGCCUGAUCUAGCCAUGCCGCGUGAGUGACGAAGGCCUUAGGGUCGUAAAGCUCUUUCGCCUGUGAUGAUAAUGACAGUAGCAGGUAAAGAAACCCCGGCUAACUCCGUGCCAGCAGCCGCGGUAAUACGGAGGGGGUUAGCGUUGUUCGGAAUUACUGGGCGUAAAGCGCACGUAGGCGGAUUGGAAAGUAUGGGGUGAAAUCCCAGGGCUCAACCCUGGAACGGCCUCAUAAACUUCCAGUCUGGAGUUCGAGAGAGGUGAGUGGAAUUCCGAGUGUAGAGGUGAAAUUCGUAGAUAUUCGGAGGAACACCAGUGGCGAAGGCGGCUCACUGGCUCGAUACUGACGCUGAGGUGCGAAAGUGUGGGGAGCAAACAGGAUUAGAUACCCUG
Molecule: ribosomal RNA, 705 nt
Filed under: Roseovarius sp.
Lineage: Bacteria; Pseudomonadati; Pseudomonadota; Alphaproteobacteria; Rhodobacterales; Roseobacteraceae
Description: bacterial SSU rRNA
Rfam family: Bacterial small subunit ribosomal RNA
Source: RNAcentral